AUUGAACGCUGGCGGCAUGCCUUACACAUGCAAGUCGAACGGCAGCGGGGGAGAAGCUUGCUUUUCCUGCCGGCGAGUGGCGAACGGGUGAGUAAUACAUCGGAACGUGCCCUGUAGUGGGGGAUAACUAGUCGAAAGAUUAGCUAAUACCGCAUACGACCUGAGGGUGAAAGUGGGGGACCGCAAGGCCUCAUGUUAUAGGAGCGGCCGAUGUCUGAUUAGCUAGUUGGUGGGGUAAAGGCCUACCAAGGCGACGAUCAGUAGCUGGUCUGAGAGGACGAUCAGCCACACUGGGACUGAGACACGGCCCAGACUCCUAAGGGGGGCAGCAGUGGGGAAUUUUGGACAAUGGGCGAAAGCCUGAUCCAGCAAUGCCGCGUGUGUGAAGAAGGCCUUCGGGUUGUAAAGCACUUUUGUCCGGAAAGAAAUGGCUCUGGUUAAUACCUGGGGUCGAUGACGGUACCGGAAGAAUAAGGACCGGCUAACUACGUGCCAGCAGCCGCGGUAA
Molecule: ribosomal RNA, 508 nt
Filed under: uncultured bacterium
Lineage: Bacteria
Description: partial 16S ribosomal RNA
Rfam family: Bacterial small subunit ribosomal RNA
Source: RNAcentral